This is a non-coding RNA of Gossypium arboreum, 107 nucleotides long. Lineage: Eukaryota; Viridiplantae; Streptophyta; Magnoliopsida; Malvales; Malvaceae. The record is from Rfam.
AACGCAUGGUGAGGACACCUUUUCAAUAGAUCUUUGUAUCUCUCCCAUGAAUCGUAAAGUAUUUCUAAGUCUAUCUACAUAAAAAAAGAGAUAUCAUUGCGUAAUUU